This 28-nucleotide small RNA is filed under the name Bombyx mori (domestic silkworm). Its description in RNAcentral is "ovarian small RNA-35347". Lineage: Eukaryota; Metazoa; Arthropoda; Insecta; Lepidoptera; Bombycidae. The record is from RNAcentral.
UGUAAUACGCUUUUACCCAAAACGCUGC